This is a long non-coding RNA of Carassius gibelio (silver crucian carp), 443 nucleotides long. RefSeq lists it as uncharacterized. NCBI's taxonomy places the organism in Eukaryota, Metazoa, Chordata, Actinopteri, Cypriniformes, Cyprinidae. The record is from RefSeq and is a predicted model, not a curated record. The transcript is spliced from 5 exons.
GGCUUCCCCUGAAAUAUAAUUGACACAGUCAGAGAAGAUGCCGACCGUGACCGAAAUGCUUCUUCAGCUGUGAAUGAGGGGUGUGUGUGUUUAUACCUGGGCUUCCUGUGGCAGCUGUGAAUGAGGAGGGUGUGUGUGUUUAUACCUGGGCUUCCUGUGGCAGCUGUGAAUGAGGAGUGUGUGUGUUUAUACCUGAGCUUCCUGUGGCAGCUGUGAAUGAGGAGUGAGUGUGUGUGUUUAUACCUGGGCUUCCUGUGGCAGCUGUGAAUGAGGAGUGAGUGUGUGUGUUUAUACCUGGGCUUCCUGUGGCAGCUGUGAAUGAGGAGAGUGUGUGUGUUUAUACCUGAGCUUCCUGUGGCAGCUGGAAGGCGUCGAUGCGGUCGGUGAGGUACGAGGUGAGCGUCUGGUCCAGCUGCGUCAGGGACGUCUGUAGUGUUUGUAAC